GAGUUUGAUUAUGGCUCAGGACUAACGCUGGCGGCGUGCCUAACACAUGCAAGUCGAACGAGUUGAUCUAUAGUAGCAAUAUUGUGGAUCGGCAAGUGGCGAACGGGUGAGUAACACGUAGAUAAUCUGCCUUUCAGACGGGGACAACUCAGGGAAACUUGUGCUAAUACCCGAUGAGACUACGGGAGGGGACUCUUGUAGCCAAAGGCGGGCGAAAGCUCGUGCUGAAAGAUGAGUCUGCGUCCUAUCAGCUAGUUGGUGGGGUAAAAGCCUACCAAGGCGAAGACGGGUAGCCGGCCUGAGAGGGUGAACGGCCACACUGGGACUGAGACACGGCCCAGACUCCUACGGGAGGCAGCAGUGAGGAAUUUUCCGCAAUGGGCGCAAGCCUGACGGAGCGACGCCGCGUGAGGGAUGACGGCCUUCGGGUUGUAAACCUCUUUUAUUAGGGAAAAAGGUCUGCGUGCUAAUACCACGUAGAUUUGAUUGUACCUGUUGAAUAAGCCCCGGCUAACUACGUGCCAGCAGCCGCGGUAAUACGUAGGGGGCGAGCGUUGUCCGGAGUUACUGGGCGUAAAGAGCGUGUAGGCGGUUGGAAAAGUCAGGUGUGAAAUUCUUCGGCUCAACUGGGGGACUGCGCCUGAAACUUUCCGACUGGAGUUCGGGAGGGGCAACUGGAAUUCCUGGUGUAACGGUGAAAUGUGUAGAUAUCAGGAGGAACACCCGUGGCGAAGGCGGGUUGCUGGACCGAAACUGACGCUGAGACGCGAAAGCGUGGGUAGCAAACAGGAUUAGAUACCCUGGUAGUCCACGCUGUAAACGAUGAGUGCUAGGUGUAGGGGGUAUCGACUCCUUCUGUGCCGCAGUUAACGCAUUAAGCACUCCGCCUGGGGAGUACGGCCGCAAGGUUUAAAACUCAAAGGAAUUGACGGGGGCCCGCACAAGCGGUGGGAGUAUGUGGUUUUAAUUUCGAUGAUACGCGAGAACUUUACUGGCUUUUGAACAUGUCAGAACCCUUAGAGAUAAGGGGUGCUGCCUGCAGAGUCUGACAAGUGCUGCAUAUGUCGUCAGCUCGUGUCCGUGAGCAUGUUUAGCGGU
This 1098-nucleotide ribosomal RNA is filed under the name uncultured Bacillota bacterium. RNAcentral's name for it is "bacterial SSU rRNA". It matches the Rfam family "Bacterial small subunit ribosomal RNA", at positions 9 to 1083 of the family's 1533-position model. Lineage: Bacteria; Bacillati; Bacillota. The record is from RNAcentral.